Molecule: ribosomal RNA, 253 nt
Filed under: uncultured bacterium
Lineage: Bacteria
Description: partial 16S ribosomal RNA
Rfam family: Bacterial small subunit ribosomal RNA
Source: RNAcentral
UACGUAGGGGGCAAGCGUUGUCCGGAUUUAUUGGGCGUAAAGAGCGUGUAGGCGGCCUGGAAGGUCAGCUGUGAAAACUCGAGGCUCAACCUCGAGACGUCGGUUGAAACCACCUGGCUAGAGUCCGGAAGAGGAGAGUGGAAUUCCCGGUGUAGCGGUGAAAUGCGCAGAUAUCGGGAAGAACACCCGUGGCGAAGGCGGCUCUCUGGGACGGUACUGACGCUGAGACGCGAAAGCUAGGGGAGCAAACAGG